This 234-nucleotide ribosomal RNA is filed under the name uncultured Candidatus Saccharibacteria bacterium. RNAcentral's name for it is "partial 16S ribosomal RNA". It matches the Rfam family "Bacterial small subunit ribosomal RNA", at positions 584 to 818 of the family's 1533-position model. Lineage: Bacteria; Candidatus Saccharimonadota. The record is from RNAcentral.
AAAGCGAAUAGUGAAAUAUGAUGGCUCAACCAUCAGAACAUUAUUCGAACUCACAGACUCGAGAAUGGUAGAGGUAACUGGAAUUUCUUGUGUAGGAGUGAAAUCCGUAGAUAUAAGAAGGAACACCAAUGGCGUAGGCAGGUUACUGGACCAUUUCUGACACUGAGGCACGAAAGCGUGGGAGCGAACCGGAUUAGAUACCCGGGUAGUCCACGCCGUAAACUAUGGAUACUA